AAUUGUCCCCAUGUCAACGAUUUGCCCCAACACUAGGUCUCCAGGGAUUUGGACCUCCAGCUGAUUUUGGCACAGGCCACCAAAAAAAGGCUGAUCCGUUUGGUCAGAUCAGCCCAAUAGCUUGGACCCAGGCAGUCUCACAGGUUUGGAUCUCUGAUAGAAAUUCAGGUUGCUUUUCUGCCCCUUUCACUGCUGUGAAUCAAAAUUCUGCAAACCCUAAUGCAAGGAAUAGAAAUGCAUAUUGAUUAAGGGCCUUUUAUGGAUGCCUUGCAGAGCAUAUUAAAAAUAAUUUAAAACUUGCAUUCUGGUCUUAAUGACUCUUGUCUCCAGCACUUUGCAGUGAUUCAGUCUUGACUUUUAAUUGAAACUCUUUAGUAAAGACAAAUUCCUUCAGCCAGAGAAGAUGAAGUACCCCUUCGGGCGUGUGCCCCAGAGUGGCUUUUGACCUCAAGGUUUCCAAAUUGCAAAGUGGCUGUAGCACUGCGGCUGAAGUCCAGAGAAGAGCUUCUGUCCUUUAAGUGAGUGCACGUGGGUUGUCCUCCAAGGAGCCAUUUCUUUUGACUUCCCCUCUGGGUGAUGCUGAUUUAAGCGCAGGGUUCUGCAGAACAAGUCUUUAGUGCUCCAAUGCUCAAGGCAAUCAUAGGGGAAAGAUUAGUAACCUCCCUCAGUGGGGCAGUAAAUGCACCCACAUGCUGGCACUCAGCAUGCUCUUACUUCCCAGUUUUGACAGCAUCAAUACAUACACGUGUGCUAAACAAAUCUGAGUCAAUUAUUGCUGUCACGAGGUUGAACACCCCAUACCUCCAUAGUCAUGUUUUCUUUUGCCUUUACAUCUCAUCCCAGGUGGCUUGUUCCUAGCCUUGAAGCUCAGAUGUGCAAGGGCACCUUGGCUUGAAAACAUCCCCAGAGAGGACAUGGCAUUUCUUAGAAGGAGCACCAAGAGAUGGCAUCUUGGGUCUAGAAGGAUGAAUAUGUCUCAGUUAGGUGGAGACAACUUCAUAUUUAAUAUUUGCUGGCUCCACGGUGGCUGGCAUAGGAGACAGGUUUCUACGUUGUACUUUUGGAUAGAAGAACAAGAUCUUGCAUGUUAUGGAGACUUACUUCAGUGUUAUGCCCCUGUUCCAUGAGUGGAGCCUUCAACAUGGGAAGAAAGAGAGUUUGUCUUUGUCUUCCUUUUGUCUCCAAGUAGAAAGAAGCCCACAAUAAAUGCAAGACCUCAGAGAGGUGGUGUGCUGUUGGGUCCAGUGCUCAUCCCACUGGGGUCAGUGUCUAUGUGGAAAGCUUGAACCCCAGCAGUCCUUCCUCUCACUGUUCUGUGAAGAGAGAGACAAUUGCAUCUUAAAACAUGCCUCUUCUUCUGAGCUCUUAAAGCAUCAGUGCUUUCCAUCCAGUCUCCAGUGGGACGAACCACUGAAUGUCAAUCAGUGCCUUCACACCCGUGCAGGGGUCCAGACCCUAUGAGGAACUCCAAGACCACAGGGAUUUCCACGCUGUCACCUGCUUUGUGGCAGCAGAGCAGGACAGGAAAGUCCCCAGUGCAUUGGAUGGGGCCUCUGACCAUGACAGCUAGAGAUUAGUGACUGGCCAUGACCUAUCAUGUCUCUGUUUUUUAAAAACCUUACUCCAUCUACUGAUUGGGUACUAUAUGAUAAUAUGAUUUUUUGCAGCUACACAUAAAAUGUGAACCAGCUGGGUUCCAAAGUGCUUCUCUCUACCAUGAGUGGUUUUCCUAUAGGUCUUGUCAAAGCCACUAGUCACUAAACACUUCCUCAGGGACUGAGUUUUCCAUCCAGGCCAUCACACACCAGUGCUUUGUGUUUACAUCCUGAGAGGAAUCACAACCAGCAGCACAGUUCAGGUGGUGGAUAAUCAUUACCCCAUAGAAGGGUAUGAAGUGAAAAUAUUUUGCUAAAUGCUGCAUUUUUUUCCUUAAAUAUUCAUUUUAUUCCUUUCCAGUUUUUAACAUCUUGCUGUCUUCCUUGUCCCACCCACUGCAAAGAAAGCCCCUCGUUUUGUCAACUCAAAAAAUCAGUUUCUUGACAACAGCUGUGAUGAGCCCCCAUCUUCACUGUCCUGCUCCUCGCAGGGACUCUCCUGAGAUGAUACAAACCUCUUGCUCCCUAAAUGGAACCAACCCAAUCUAGCAGAGAAGUUCCUUGUAGGGCAGCAUGGAACUCCUAAAUUUGAAGGUAAGCUCCAAGUCUCUUUAGGCUGAAUCUGCUGGAAAUGAACACCGGUUCAACUUCACAUCCAAAAAGGCUCGAUGCCUCCUUUUCUCCCAGCUGGUAAAAAUACUGCUCCUUAUCUGAUUGUGCCAUUUGCGGCAUUUUACAGAGCAAUUGAGCCAGGCUGUGUUUCCAAGGCUUGGUGGGGGUGCUGGUGUUGCCUUCACCUUGUGAGUCAGGCAGUAAUGAGCUUGACUCUCUGGUAAAACACUUGUCUGGUAAUCAUGGGGUUCAUCAGACAAUAAGGUAAGGGUUGUCACAUGUGCUGUCAAGGAGUUAAAAGUCAUAAGCUAAAUCUCCAAACUCCAAGCUGAGGCAUCCUCCAGAUCCAAUGUCCCCGUAUUUGCCUGAUUCUCUCAGAUUUUUAACAAAUAGUAAGAGCUACGAACUCCAGGAGUAGACAAGAGUGCAUUCACACAUAUCUUGAGGAUUGUGUGCAGUGCUCUAGUUUGGGUGUAAAGAGAGGACCUCGCCAAAGACUGACCAAAUUGUAGUUCCUUGUGCACAUGGGCAGAUCUGAACAUAGCCCUCAUGAAACAGACCAGCAAAUAACUAAACAUAUCCUACUCUUUUCUCCUCCCCAGGCUCCAGUGCUUGCAGGUGACGCAGCAGUACUGCAAGGCUUCCAGCAGGCAGUGAGUUAUGAUUAAAAAUAGUGGUUAUUUAUAAUAAAUGGAGCAUUCACAUGGAAAAAUCGGAGUGAUUCCUCUAAUCGUAACCUAAGGUGGCUGUGUGCUUAGGGGCACCCUUCCCUUGUUUUUGUAUCACAGCACUAUAACAUCAUAUUCUGAAAUGAUUUUCUAAUGAAGCGACUUCAGUUUCUUUUGCUUUGGAGUCAAGGAGUUUUGUUGUUCAAGGAGCAAGCAAGACUCAAACCAUCAGAGUGAAGUGUCCUACAGGCAUAGAAUAAUAGAAUGCUUCAAGUUGGAAGGUACCUUAGCAGAUCAUCCAGUCCAACCUCCACUGCAAUGACCAGGGAUAUCUUUAACUCCAUCAGGUGGCUCAGAGCUCCAUCCAACCCGACCUUGCAUGUUUCCAGGGAUGGCGGCUCCACUACCUCCUUGGGCAACCUGUGCCAGUGUUUCACCACCCUUCUCAUAAAAAAUGUCUUCCUUGUAUCCAGCCUAAACCUACCCUCCCUUAGUUUAAAACCCUUUGUUCUGGCACAACAGGCCCUGCUAAAAAGUCUGUCCUCAUCUGUCCUGUAAGCCCCCAUUAAGUACUGGAAGGCUGCUCUAAGGUCUCCCCAGAGCCUUCUCUUCUCCAGGCUGAACAACUCCAACUCUCUCAGCCUUUCCUCUUAUGGGGGUGCUUCAGCUCUCUGAUUAUGUUUGUGGCCCUAAUUCAUAAUUCAUAGCUGUGUUGAUUUCUCUCCUAGGCUACAGUGACAUCAGUAAAUAACAAAAGAUUGGAUCCUGUCAAAGAAAUCAAGGAGGAGAUAUCAGAGCAUCUGGAGUUUCCAAUGAGUGUGACCACAUCCUCCUUGAAUUCAGCAAGUCUUUAAAAGUGAACCACAAAGGAAACACAGAAAUGACUUAUUUAUGGGGAAAGAAAAGCUUUUGUUUUCUGUUGUUUUACAGAAUGCCAUUCUGGCACAACCCUGCUUCUUCUGGGGCCUCUGUGACGUAAGCAAAUCCUUAUUGUCCCAAAGGACAUACCCUCAGCCUCUCAUCUUUAAGACACAUUCCAUUGUCCUACCCUUAACAUAAGAUUAUAAUAUUUUCCUUACCCACCAAAAUAGAGAUGAAAAAUUAUUAAAUGUUUGUGUUCUUCUGCCGCUGGAGCAUGUGAAUACCCUGGCAGAAUAAGGAAACCAGAUCUCACCUGCUCUUCUCUCUUCAAGCUAGUGACAGACCACAUCAAGGCAUCUUCUUUGAUUUUCCAUUUCUCAGCUUCCAGCAACACCUGUCAGCAGCCCAUCUGUUGGAGAGAAAACCCGUUUGGCUCCACUUUGUAAUUGUUUAAGGAAAGGGACCGCAAAUGCUUACAUCAUUCAGGAGUGAAGUAAGAGCAAGAAGGACUGGAGGAAUGAACCACAGCUGAGGAGAACCAAAACCACCAAGGGCUUCUGUGGCUCUCUCACUGCUCUAUGGGAACCAGGAAGGAUGAAUCAUGAGGCAUGACAGUCUGCUUGCUCGUGGGACUGUGGGAUACCAGAUGCUCCCAAAUAAAGCGAUAUUCCAGGGAAUCCUUGGCCAUACUCAGAAGUGGUAUUUCCAGCCAAACAUACUGCUCAAGAGACCUAUCCACAGAAAGGACAGCCCACUGAUGCCAGAAUAUUGUCUAGUGUCCUUGGUCUUCAGACCGAUCAGUCAUUACUAUAUGCUCCUCCAAGUCUCUACAUAUACCUUGAAGGGCAUGGAUAGAGGUGGAACAUAAGUCCCGUGUUCCUAGCCUGCACUACUGACCAAUGGAAAAGUGGUCAGGAUGGACAGCUAUGAGUCCUGUCAUAUUGCUCCACAAAGGCUGUCUUGGGCCUCUUGCUCAGAUUUACUGGCACUACACUAUAUAGCCGAGUGAAGUUGCUCAAGAGUUCAAGUGUGUGGGAUGCUCUUCCAGUGAGUUUCAUAGGAAGGAGCACAGACAAGGGCAGUCUUGUCCUGAAUAGGAUCAGAGAGCUUUGUCAUGGCUGAUGGUUAUGCAAAAAGUGGCCAAAAUAUGGCAGUAGAUCAGGAAAGGCUGGGUGAGUAUCCAGCAGAAAAGGGCAAACCCAAGUCAUUUUGCAGGGAAUGACAGAGUUAUCUAGAGAUUUGGAGUACAGAGAGCAGAAGGGUUGGUGGAGGGCUUGGAGGAGGUGAGUCUGGGCUAUCUGGGCGAUUAGCAGAACAGCAGAGAGAUCUUAUGGUAGGAAAUCUUUCAAACUAUACAAAAUCUUUAGAAACAGCAAAACAGAGUCAUUUUAUACGAGGUUAGAGAUCUGGUUGUUGUGGUUGUGGUGUUUAGAUCUGGCCCUAAAACUCAAAUGACAGUACUCUUUGAUGGUGGUGGCUUUAUGUGCUUUGACAAUCUCACAUAUAUUCUGCAGCAUAAUUGGUCUAAAAUAAAUUUUCCUCAUUUUUGUUGUGCCAGCGUCAGUCAGACCUCCUAAGUUUUGUAACCUGCUUGUUUACACUGCUUCAAGUGAUAUCAGUGUUAGGUCUCUGGAUGUGGUAGUGCCUUUCACCGCAUUCUUCCUUUAGGUUUUUUUUUCUGUCUUUUCCGCUCCAUCCCUGACAGGGGAAGCACUGUUCUUUCCGUGCUCCUUGUUUCUGUUUGAAGGAGUCAUAGAAAAAGU
Long non-coding RNA from Cuculus canorus (common cuckoo), 5499 nucleotides. RefSeq lists it as uncharacterized. NCBI's taxonomy places the organism in Eukaryota, Metazoa, Chordata, Aves, Cuculiformes, Cuculidae. The record is from RefSeq and is a predicted model, not a curated record. The transcript is spliced from 3 exons.